GAUCCUGGCUCAGAUUGAACGCUGGCGGCAGGCCUAACACAUGCAAGUCGAGCGAGAAAGGUCUUCGGACUGAGUACAGCGGCGGACGGGUGAGUAAUGCGCAGGAAUCUACCUGGUAGUGGGGGAUAACUCGGGGAAACUCGAACUAAUACCGCAUACGCCCUACGGGGGAAAGCGGGGGACCUUCGGGCCUCGCGCUAUCAGAUGAGCCUGCGUAGGAUUAGCUUGUUGGUGAGGUAAAGGCUCACCAAGGCGACGAUCCUUAGCUGGUCUGAGAGGAUGAUCAGCCACACUGGAACUGAGACACGGUCCAGACUCCUACGGGAGGCAGCAGUGGGGAAUAUUGCGCAAUGGGCGAAAGCCUGACGCAGCCAUGCCGCGUGUGUGAAGAAGGCCCUUGGGUUGUAAAGCACUUUCAAUUGGGAAGAAAGGUUGCGUGUUAAUAGCACGUAGCUGUGACGUUACCUUUAGAAGAAGCACCGGCUAACUCCGUG
RNAcentral lists this ribosomal RNA (494 nucleotides) under uncultured bacterium. Its description in RNAcentral is "bacterial SSU rRNA". It matches the Rfam family "Bacterial small subunit ribosomal RNA", at positions 15 to 507 of the family's 1533-position model. The record is from RNAcentral.